This is a long non-coding RNA of Acipenser ruthenus (sterlet), 1320 nucleotides long. RefSeq lists it as uncharacterized. Lineage: Eukaryota; Metazoa; Chordata; Actinopteri; Acipenseriformes; Acipenseridae. The transcript has 3 exons. The record is from RefSeq and is a predicted model, not a curated record.
UUGAUGUGAUCCAGCCCUCUGACAUGUCUUUAUAAUAUAUAGCACUAGACCCUGAUAUUGAUGUGAUCCAGCCCUCUGACAUGUCUUUAUAAUAUACAGUAGAGGGUUUGGGGUUGAUCGGGGGCGGGGAGACCGGGCUAAGCCUCUCUCAGCACAGCUGGUCGUCUGCAGCAGGGCUGAUAAAUUUACAGUCACUCGCUUAUCAGUUCAUCUGUUUUUCUGUCUGUUUGUUCAUUUCAGUCAAUAUUAAGCACCAGCCUGUGCAUUCUCAGCUCUCCAGCGCAUUGAACUCAACGAGCGCUGUAAACAGCAGCUGGUCCCGUGGCAGUGUGGUUAUUGUACAGCUGGUUAUUUUAAAGUGGCACACGGCCGCCCCUGGGAGUGUGAAUCAGGGCUGAGUGGCACACCGGUAUCCCGCCCGGCACGGCUGCCUGCUCAUUCUUUCUUUCUUUCUCUUUUUAGGAUCCUCGAUCAAAAAAAAGAGAAAUCGGGACCCCAUGCGCCCCGAAACGCAACACAUUAACAUUACACUGUGGACGAGGGCUGCUUCAGAAGACCUGAGAGAGGAAGGACAGGCAGGGGGAGUCACUAACUGCACAACCCGAGCGAUGGACUGAGAGGCACUGGCCUGGAAAAUGAGGCGAGUGCAAACAAGCUGAAAGAAAGAAAGUUGUGAGAGAAGAGAGUCCCUUCACAGGGUCUCACCCACAGAGAAACUGAGAGACCGAGAGAGGCGUCAACAUUUCCACUGCGGUGGAGGAGCAGGGGGGUGCGAUUCACAGGAUCAGAUCACCGUGUUUCUGUACUGUACUGUACAGUCAGACACCGCAAGACUGUCGAAAGCCAGUGGCUCAAUCAUUUCAGUGGUGUAGAGGACCACUCAAACGAUUUCCAAACCGCACAGCCCAGGUUUAACGGCACCUUCCUUCCUUCCUUCCUGGAGCUAGCUUGUUUAGAUGUAGCUUGUUUGCUCUGGAGACCGGUAGUUAUGAAGCUGGAGCAGCUCUGCUUGGUAACCCUGAGUGCUCCAGCCUGUCAGAUCCCUGCUCAUCGCUCAUCUGUGCUCACAGAAGAGGCAACCGUAUCUCCGAGUGCUGGACGCCUUCACUUCCAAACGAGCCCAGCAGCUGUCUCUGUUUACAGCAGCUCUUCAGCGCAGCCAAGCUCCCCCUCCAAGGAGGUGAACGGGGGCUGUGAAAGUUUACACCUUGAAAUGUUUCCCCAAGUAUUGAGAGUGGCUGCUCUGAAACACAGUCCCCGACAGCAGAAGGAAGCAGAGAGACGGGGAGACGCGCAGGCAGAGGGGACAGUGCUAGACGA